RNAcentral lists this long non-coding RNA (217 nucleotides) under Homo sapiens (human). RNAcentral's name for it is "HSALNT0275074". The record is from RNAcentral. Lineage: Eukaryota; Metazoa; Chordata; Mammalia; Primates; Hominidae.
AAGACAUGGUCCUUGAGAUGAAGAAGCCUGAACUCACAAAGAUAUAAAAUAAGCAUAAAGAAACAUGUUAAGCGACAAAAGGCUGGGGGAAACAAGGACAGUUCAUGGACGUAGUGACAUUUAAGUAAGGCUUUUGAGAGAGUAGUAUUUAAAUGGGUAAGGAAGUAGAGAGGGGGCCAGGUGUGGUGGCUCACACCUGUAAUCCCAGCACUUUGGG